UAACAGAACCAGUUUUACAAAAUAUUCCUGAAAGGAUGAAUCAGUUUUGUAAACUGUCCCUGAAAGGAUGUUCAAGCAUAUCGUGUUCAAGUACACUCUUAUCUUAACAACCUAGCUUUUAUCUUAGCCUAAAUACGCAUAGAGUGAGGAGAAGUACAUGCAGUAUCUCCGGAGGUUGAGCAAGUCAGCAGUUAUCUAGCUAUAGAAGUAGUACGCCUGUGCAGUACCCAAAGGUGAAAGGGACGGAAGUGAUGAAGACUACUUACUUCAUCCUGAAGAUCCCCUGAAAGACCACCAGAGGACACUGCACAUGAUCAAAAUAGUUCCAAGAUGUUGCAAUCGAUGUUGCAAUCAAUGUUGAGUAACCGUUACGUAUCUUAAUGAAUAUAUGAAUAUGUAUGUGAAUGGACUGCAUAAAUACUGUGUAACUUAAACUGACCAGCAAAGCCAGCUUUGGGUGCAAACCCCUGGUUUCCCAGCGCUGAAAUAAAGCACCACAUAUAACUACGCCCGUGUUUAUGUGUCCUGAUUGCUAACAUUUUGGCGACCCAGAUGGGACCUCGUGGGCUGCUGAGGCGGAUCGCAUCUUGAUCCUGCUCCGGCUAGCACCGAGGUAUUCUUGGGGAGUGUAUCGGACGUGACUGACCCUCUGCUGCUCACGACAGACCUCUGACUGUGACCCCGACGUGAUCCUGCCUGAAGAGGAUCUCGCAUGACAAGGUGACAGCGUGAAGCUGUGAACAGCCGAAGAAGAGCUGUGGAAAUGGAGCCUGGUACAGCUGAUAAGAGCAGCCGAGGAGAGCUGCCGAAGAUCCGGAUCGAUUGAAAAGACACCUCGCUAAGGAGUAGGAAGGCCUUAAAUCAUGAACUCUUUAAAGUUUUCAGUGAGAUGUGUGAUGUGGAUGUUAACCACCUUUUGCCUGGGAAAGACUACACAAUUCAUUUGCAGGCAACCAGCUGCUAAGUCUCAUGAGGAUUUAGGGCAGCAUGGAACUGUAGGAAAAGAUGUCUGCAAACCCGCUGUCUGUAAACCCGCCAUCUGCUAGAGAGUUGCCUAUGACUGGUCAUCUCCACAACUGGUGUAGGCAGGACUUCCUAAUGACAAAGAAUCACUUAGGAGAGGGAAGAGUACAGAGAACACAUCAAUGGUCCACACUGCCUGGACAUUGGUUACCAGUGGAGUCUCCCAGGUCUCUGUCUUGAGUCCUAUGACAUUUAAUAUCUUUAUCAGUGGCCCAGAAGAGGAUCUAGACUGCGACCUUUCCGGUUUUGCAGAUGUCAGGAAACUGUGGUGAUGAAGUUGGUGUGAUCAAGUGCAGGGCUUCUGUUCAGCUGGACCUCAGCAGGUGGGAGGAAAAGACUAAAGAAGGAACAUCAUGAAAUUCAACAAGGACAAAUGCCACCAGAAUGGGAUGCCCAGAGAAGCUGUGUAAUGUCCUCUCUCAAGGUUUUCAAGACCCAGCAAGAUGACACCUGGAGCAAUAUAGUCUGAGUUCAGUGUUGACCCCACUUUGAACAGGAUUAGAGAUGUCCUGAGCUCCCCUCUACCCAGGAUGUUUCUGUGAAGGCCUUAAAUCAUGAACUCUUUAAAGUUUUCAGUGAGAUGUGUGAUGUGGAUGUUAACCACCUUUUGCCUGGGAAAGACUACACAAUUCAUUUGCAGGCAACCAGCUGCUAAGUCAUAUGUGGAUUUAGGGCAACAUGGAACUGCAGGAAAAGAUGUCUGCAAACCCACUGCCUGCAAACCUGAUGUCUGCUAGAGGGUUGCCUAUGGUUGGUCAUCUCCACAACUGGCAUAGGCAGGACUUCCUAAUGACAAAGAAUCACUUAGGAGAGGGAACAUUACAGAGAACACAUCAGUGGUCCACACUGCCUGGACAUUGGUUACCAGUGGAGUCUCCCAGGUCUCUGUCUUGAGUCCUAUGACAUUUAAUAUCUUUAUCAGUGGCCCAGAAGAGGAUCUAGACUGCGACCUUUCCGGUUUUGCAGAUGUCAGGAAACUGUGGUGAUGAAGUUGGUGUGAUCAAGUGCAGGGCUUCUGUUCAGCUGGACCUUGGCAGGUGGGAGGAAAAGACUAAGGAAGGAACAUCAUGAAAUUCAACAAGGACAAAUGCCACCAGAACGGGAUGCCCAGAGAAGCUGAGCAAAGUCCUCUCUCAAGGUUUUCAAGACCCAGCAAGAUGACACCUGGAGCAAUACAGUCUGAGUUCGGUGUUGACCACACUUUGAACAGGAUUAGAGAUGUCCUGAGCUCCCCUCUACCCAGGAUAUUUCUUUGUGAGUAUGAAUGCUUGUGCAUAUGGCCUGGGGACUUGCCAUAAGGAGAAGGAGAGAUAGGUCCCAAGUCAUUCUUGGGGCAAUAAGGGAGGAAUCAGAGGAAUUGCUGGGUGUCUGCUGGAGAGCAUGGAAUGUCACCGAGGUGUGGGUGAGGAGGAUGUCAGGGUUGCUGCUACCAGUCCCAGGGAACUGUGAAGGAGGAGUGAGUACCAGAUGAAACGAGCAGCCAUUUCACUCCUUGCCAGCUCAGCGUAGUGCAAACGUGACUAAAUGUAUGGGUCACAAGUUGCAGCAGGCCACUGAAUACCCAUCAUCCAAUUUUGUACUUACACAAGUACCCAAACGCCUUAUUUCAAUGUUUCUUUUUAUUAUAAGAUACAAUCUUCUGUUGUUGAUAAGCUUGAAAAGAGGUACCUAAAUGUGUAUGAGGAAAACUUCUCCCAUAUGGAUUUUCCAUUUCUCAGAACCAAGCUCUAGUUAUCCCUUGCCCAUGUUAAGAUAGUGCUACUCAUCUUUUCUCCUCUUUCCUUGAGAAUGCCCUUUUUGGAAUAGAAUCUUGAAAAUCAUUGGGAAAGCCUCCUUUCCAUUUUGGAUGCACUUAUUGGUAACAUUGAUUGAGGUGCCCUUAAUAUGGCCAACCAUAAAUCUGAAAAUUUCAGAGUACCCGGAUGCCUCAAUUCAAAGCUGGUGUGAGACCCUGCUCAGGAGCGGGGUUCCUUAAGCUUAAUCACAGAGGUGAGGAGAAUUAGACUGGCUAAGCUGUGGAGUAGGGACUCAGGAGAGAAACAGCUGCUGCAUUGCAUGGCCUCAUAAACUAUAUGCAGUGUGGCGAUUAGGAACGACGAAUACCAGGAUGCAGACAGAAAUUCACGCAGAGGCAGAGAUCUUGUUCAGGAAGGAGCACAGAGCCUGACCAAGCAGAGAGCCUACCUAGGCCUAGGCUGCCUUCUUUAUUCACCAUUGACAGUUUAGAGGAUUUACAGGUACAGGCCUGGACUAAGAUGUUUACAAAAAGGUGCUUUUCCACUGAUUGUUAUUAAGAACACACUAAACUCAUGCGAUGUUUGUCUCACUUGUUUUUCCACUCAUUCACAGACCAGGCCCGAGGACAUUCACACAUCCCAUGCACUUGGGGGCGGUUAUCCGGCCCGAGAUACCAUUCUAACGAGUCUGGGCUAUAACUUUUUAUAAUUAUGAGAAACGUACUUCAAAGUAAUCUGUCCAAGGCCCUUUAUAUAUUACUAUGUUAGUAUUAUGUCUUUGACUGUCCAGAUGGUCAUGUUAGUAUUGAUCUUCCUUUAUCAUCCAGGUGGCUAGAACUGCACAUCUUGCUUUCCCACAUCUUGCUUUCCAACAAUGCAGUUGGUCUGUGGGUUAGAAAUGCACAGAGAAAGAAGCUGCCCAGUUCUCCUUUUUAUUUAUUUCUGUUGGGGUGGGAGGUAGCAUUGGCUCUACAUUAUUUCUCUUUGUCAUUUGUGAUGUACUGUCAUCUCAAUCAUCAUGCCUGACAGUGUUCAAGAAGAGACCAGACAGUGCCCUCAGACACAUGGUGUGAACUGUGGAGUUCUCAUAUGCAGGGACAGGAACUGGACUUGAUCCUUGUGUGUCAUUUCCAAUUCAGGACAUUCUAUGAUUCUAUGAUUCUAUUACUCUGUGAUCUGUUAUCUGAGGCAGAUACCAGAAAUAGUAUAAAAAUCAACGAGCUGUGUGUCACACAGAAUACCUGCUCUGUGGGCUAGAAACCAACACUCUGGAAGGCACUCAGUUUCCUUCAGGUUGGAAAACUUCCCUGCAGCAGGUCACAUUACAGGCUUUGACUGCUCUUCAGAGUCCUUUUUCAUCUGUGCAGAUGUGGCAGGGCAGAACUGAGAAUACAGCUGAGCCAGCAAAGCCUGGGACGUGAUCUCUAGCCUUGCAUCGUGGCUCAGUUUGUUCCAUAUGUGCACCGCAUAGGUGUUCUUAAGGAGAUUGUGAAGCUCUGAGGAGCCGAUUGCUUCAAACAAUUUCUUCCAGUUCUGCCAUGGAAUAGGAUAAAAAGCAUCACGGCUCAGAGCACUAACUCCUUUGCAGAUCAUACCACUUUGGAUAUUACUGAUAGAGCACCACUUCUUGAAGACACGUGUUAGGAGCUGUGGGCCCUGGUGUGCCCAUAUCCAGCUUUUGUAGUUGUCCACAAAGUCCUGCAUGCAAAGUUCUAUGAACUCAUGCUUGGGUUUGAAGGACAGAAAGGCCCCAUUCAGUACAUCCUGAGACUGGAGCCCGAGGGCAUUGGUGAGGUUCUUCAAGUUCUUCAGCACAAUGAAGUCUGUGUCCAGGUAGAUGCCACCAAAUUUCCACAUGAUGGUAAUUCUGCAGGCGUCAGAGAGGUGGGCUAAGUAAUAACGUCCCUUCUGGUGCUCAGGCUGUGCGUACCACUUUGCCAGAGGUGUUCCUGAGAAAAGCUCUUCCAUGUCCAGGGGCCGGAUCUCCACGUUGGGGAAGCGGCUCAGCAAUGAGAAUGCCCAGUGGCUGGGCAAUGAGACAUUCCUCUUUGCCAGGCCUUUCAUGAGCACCACAACCCGUGUCCCAGGGUGUGCCCGGGCCGCUGACUCCACAGAGCACGUGAACAGGUAACUUGGGUUAAUUCGCUCAGAGGUCUCCACAAAAAACACAUCCCCUGGGGAAGGAGGGGGCCCACCAGCAAUGGUGCGGGGAGGGGAAGCAAAAAACUGUUCACAAAUGCUUUGUGUAGGCAAGGUGUAGACCUGGCCUGCAGCAUCCUCUCCAGUUGUCCAGUGGAACAUGACAGAGGCAAAGAGCAGAAAUGAAACAGUGAGGAUAAACAGAGCUAUGGGCCUGUGGCUCAGCAACACUGUGGUCAGUUUUGGCACGCAGUUCGACAUCUCUCCCAGCACAACUGUUGUGAUCUGAAGGGAGGAAAGAAGAAAAAGACACUGACAGGAAAGGCAGCAAACCAGGAGCCUUGGGAAAGUGCCACAGUACAGCAGAACACUCCUUCCUUCACCCCAACUUUAACUAUGCCUUUUGGUCAUUUCUGGAACAGUCUCCUGGCUUCUCCAUAUUGUCACAGGACCUUCAGGUCCCACAUCAGAAACUGCUGCCCAUCUUUGGAUCCCUCUCUUUCAAACACAAAAGAAGGACAAGUCUCUCCUUUCGGCAUAUCAGAUACUAAGACUGAUCCUCUGUUCUCUCCAUGUGUUUUGUCCACGUAAGUUGUGCUUGCCACUUGGAAGGAUAUACAGCAUUUGACACACAAAUGGCACAUCUGCAUGGUAGUCCACCACAAACUCUGGAAACAGCAUACGAGACCUUAUCUAUCAUCUUCUAGAAUUUCAGGUCAUACUGAACAAGAAACAUAUGUGCAACAACAAUCCCGAAGACGAAGAAAUAGGAAUGCUCCCUCUGAAUGUUCCUGGAGCUUUGUCAACAGACGUGUGCAACUGCUUCCGUGAUGAGUUCUAUAUCUAUAACGCUUUAAUCUUUAACCAAACAGGUAACAGGACAGACAGCUCAGCUGGCACAACAGACAGCUCUAAUCUAACAGUGAGCAAGAUUCAAGACUACAUGCAUAGUUUAGUAAGUGGAGGUAUUCGCAACACAAGCGCACUUCUAUAUAAUUAGAAAUACAUAAAUAUAUUUCUGCAUUUACACGGAAUAGGAAGACAUUUUCGAUGCUGCAUGAGCCGGUCAAUUUAUCUCACAAUACAAACACAAUAAAUCCGUCUCUCUAAUUUCCUCUGAAACCGCAAGUGCCAUUGCACAGAAAUGGUGAAUACUACUUACCUGUCCCUGCUUUCAAGACACCACAGAAGUCACUGCUCAGCUGGACAAGACUUUCAAGAGGUCGGUGUUUCUCAGAGCACCUGUAACUCUAUGAACUGACACUUCCUUUUCCUGAAAAGAAAUGGUGAGAGAUGGACUCUGAACACCUGGAGGAAACAGGCAGAUCAAGGUGGAUGUGACGUCAUACUUUCAGUUCAUACAGUGGCUGAUAUAAGGUUUCAGCAGCUGUGCUGUGAGGAAACCAUCUAAUUAGAAAUGCACCACCAAAAACAAACAAGCAAACAAGCAAAAAAAUAAGGAAAUUGAUACCCAAUUACUGCUACACAUUAAGCUUUAUACUGUGGUGGGAAACCAGUUGCUGUUUUGUCUUCUACUCUUUGCGAACAAUCCCCAGUACUCACACUGCCUGGGUGGCUGCCACGAGAACUGAGCUGAGAGAUUCAUAGAUCUGCCUCCUCCCAUCCCAGAACUCCCUUCCUGAAGGCUCCUUUGAACGUACACUCUUUUGACCAGUUAAUAAACUCAUCCAUUUGGAAAUA
Long non-coding RNA from Columba livia (rock pigeon), 6599 nucleotides. RefSeq lists it as uncharacterized. The transcript has 4 exons. Lineage: Eukaryota; Metazoa; Chordata; Aves; Columbiformes; Columbidae. The record is from RefSeq and is a predicted model, not a curated record.